CCUACGGGGUGCAGCAGUGGGGAAUAUUGCGCAAUGGGCGAAAGCCUGACGCAGCGACGCCGCGUGAGGGAUGAAGGUCUUCGGAUCGUAAACCUCUGUCAGCAGGGAAGAACGGUCACUGUGCUAAUCAGCAGUGAAUUGACGGGACCUGCAAAGGAAGCACCGGCUAACUCCGUGCAAGCAGCCGAGGUAAUACGGAGGGAGCGAGCGUUAAGCGGAAUUACGGGGCGUAAAGCGCUCGUAGGCGGUAUGUCAAGUCAAGGGUGAAAUCCCCGCGCGCAACGUGGGAACUGCCUUUGAAACUGGCAAACUGGAGUGUGUGAGAGGAUAGUGGAAUUCCAGGUGUAGGAGGGAAAUCCGUAGAUAUCUGGAGGAACAUCAGUGGCGAAGGCGACUAUCUGGCACAUAACUGACGCUGAGGAGCGAAAGCGUGGGUAGCAAACAGGAUUAGAUACCCCGGUAGUC
Molecule: ribosomal RNA, 465 nt
Filed under: uncultured bacterium
Lineage: Bacteria
Description: partial 16S ribosomal RNA
Rfam family: Bacterial small subunit ribosomal RNA
Source: RNAcentral